CCCAGUCUAAAGGCUUCUCAGACUGCAGCUCCAGCUCCAGAAACUGUGCCAAGAAGAGCUCAUGAUCCUGGAGCAGACUCCUGGAAGAAAAGACUCCAGGCUGACAAGAGAAUGGGGCAGGGGCAUGGGUGCAUUUUUCUCUUCCCUGUUUUAAAGAAAUAAAGAUAAGAAUAAGAA
Phodopus roborovskii (desert hamster) is the source of this 177-nucleotide long non-coding RNA. RefSeq lists it as uncharacterized. The transcript has 2 exons. The record is from RefSeq and is a predicted model, not a curated record. NCBI's taxonomy places the organism in Eukaryota, Metazoa, Chordata, Mammalia, Rodentia, Cricetidae.